GAGUUUGAUCCUGGCUCAGAGUGAACGCUGGCGGCGUGCCUAAUACAUGCAAGUCGAACGAUGAAUCUUCUAGCUUGCUAGAAGUGGAUUAGUGGCGCACGGGUGAGUAAUGCAUAGGUUAUGUGCCCUUUAGUCUGGGAUAGCCACUGGAAACGGUGAUUAAUACUGGAUACUCCCUACGGGGGAAAGUUUAUCGCUAAAGGAUCAGCCUAUGUCCUAUCAGCUUGUUGGUGAGGUAAUGGCUCACCAAGGCUAUGACGGGUAUCCGGCCUGAGAGGGUGAUCGGACACACUGGAACUGAGACACGGUCCAGACUCCUACGGGAGGCAGCAGUAGGGAAUAUUGCUCAAUGGGGGAAACCCUGUAGCAGCAACGCCGCG
This 380-nucleotide ribosomal RNA is filed under the name uncultured bacterium. RNAcentral describes it as "bacterial SSU rRNA". It matches the Rfam family "Bacterial small subunit ribosomal RNA", at positions 9 to 401 of the family's 1533-position model. The record is from RNAcentral.